GACGGCCCAUCAUCGCCGACCAUCCUCCUCGUCGACUGACGCUACCUCUGCCCUCUGCGUAAGGUGAAAAUUAACAUUUACCAUAAUGUCAAAUCCAAAAAAUCAAGAUCCUAAAUGGGACCAUGGUACACCGGUUUUGGAUAAGGGCACUACACAUGUGCGUUGCAAAUAUUGUAAAAAAAUAACGAAGGGUGGAAUUUUAUCGACAUAAAUUGCAUCUUAUUGGAGGGAAUAGAAAUGUUACGGGGUG
Long non-coding RNA from Ipomoea nil (Japanese morning glory), 250 nucleotides. RefSeq lists it as uncharacterized. Lineage: Eukaryota; Viridiplantae; Streptophyta; Magnoliopsida; Solanales; Convolvulaceae. The record is from RefSeq and is a predicted model, not a curated record. The transcript has 2 exons.